UGGAUUCGCUAGUAAUCGCGCAUCAGCCAUGGCGCGGUGAAUACGUUCCCGGGCCUUGUACACACCGCCCGUCAAGCCAUGGGAGCCGGGGGCGCCUGAAGUCCGGGACCGCGAGGACCGGCCUAGGGCGAAACUGGUAACUGGGGCUAAGUCGUAACAAGGUAUC
RNAcentral lists this ribosomal RNA (166 nucleotides) under uncultured bacterium. RNAcentral's name for it is "partial 16S ribosomal RNA". It matches the Rfam family "Bacterial small subunit ribosomal RNA", at positions 1327 to 1500 of the family's 1533-position model. The record is from RNAcentral.